Capra hircus (goat) is the source of this 1985-nucleotide long non-coding RNA. NCBI's taxonomy places the organism in Eukaryota, Metazoa, Chordata, Mammalia, Artiodactyla, Bovidae. The record is from Ensembl.
AGCUUCGACUCAGCAAGGUCACUGUUCAGACUUGACUCGUGAUUGGCUGCUGCGCUUCAGCGUGUUAUUACUGUCUGAUUUGAUCGGAGGCAGGGGGUGGUCUCCAAUCAAACAGAGAAAAGGUCCUAGAGAAGAUCUGGAAACUACCCAACUGACCCAGAGUGAUACCAGGAGCUCAGUGCAAGCACAUGCAGAGGUUCCCCAAAGAUGGGGCCAAUAUCAAGUCUCCGCAGGUAAUAAAGCCUUUGUCAUCUGUCAUCAAGAGUCCAUUUCUCCAUCCUUUAAUUCUGGACUGGACUUGUAAGAUUUUUGGCCAAUCAAAUGAGCCAGAAAGGACAUCAAGCUGCUACUGAACAGAGAUCUUAAGAAGUCUUGCAGCUUUCUUUGUGUCACUAUCAGAACACUUCUACUUGUGAACAGACUGAGUGGAGCUGAGGGGAGAUGGAGACCAUGUGGAGCAGAAAUAAGCAGACCAGCUGAGAUCCAACCACCAGAUGAAUGAAUGAGGACAUUCUACGCUUUCCGUCCCCAGCAGGGCUGCCAACUACAAAGAUCAGCUGAUUCCACUUAGACCAGGCAUUAUGGGCUGUCUCAGUCAUCUCAGUCAACUCACAGAACACGAGCUAGAUAAUAAAUAUUUGUGGUUUUUAGGUACUAGGUUGUGGGACACUUGGAUCAUCUUUUCCUUUUGAUAUAUAAAUUCUAUCACUAUCCUUGAAUAUUUCAGUGUCCAUAUAGAGAUUUUACAGACAUCCUUUAUUACAUGAUUUGGCUUCUUUGAAGAACUUUACCUUCAUCUUUAAAAAAGUACAGCUUGAUACCUAUCUAUCUAUAUAUACACACUACUAUGUAUAACAUAGAUAACUGCUGCUGCUGCUAAGUCGCUUCAGUCGUGUCCGACUCUCUGUGACCCCAUAGAUGGCAGCCCACUAGGCUCCUCUGUCCCUGGGAUUCUCCAGGCAAGAAUACUGGAGUGGGUUGCCAUUUCCUUCUCCAGUGCGUGAGAGUGAAAAGUGAAAGUGAAGUCGCUCAGUCGUGCAUGACUCUUAGCAACCCCGUGGACUGGAGCCUACCAGCCUCCUCUGUCCACGGGAUUUUCCAGGCAAGAAUACUGGAGUGGGGUGCCAUUGCCUUCUCCAUAACAUAGAUAACUAAUGAAUACUAAUUCAUUAGUGAAUAACUACUGAUACUAAUGAAUACUGUAUAGCACUGGGAACUAUACUCAAUACUCAUGCUCUCUUAGGCAGCACGUAUACUAUACUCAAUACUCUGUGGUGACCUAAAUGGGAAAGAAGUCUAAAAAAGAGGGGAGGUAUGUAUAUGUGUAACUGAUUCUCUUUACUGUACAGCAGAAACUAACACAACAUUGUAAAGCAACUAUACUCCAAUAAAAAUUUUAAAAAUUACAGCUAACAUUAAUGAUUAGGAUAUGGAGAAAGAGACAGAAAGGGUAAAAGGGAGUGGGACCAAGUCUCAAGACUGAUCUAAAGAGCUGAAAUGUUUUCAGAUUGGCAGGAGAAGUGAUGGCCAGGCAAGAGGGAAACUUCCUGUGGAAAGAUAGUCAAGUUUAGACAGUUUAAUCAAACUUCCCUGUCUGAAAAAUAUCUUCCCCUCAAUCUGCCAAGGGCCAAACUUCCCCAAAUAAAUACCCAAGCGAAAAAAAAAAAAAAAAAGAACAAGGCUUGACUCAAAUAGGUUGUAAUUAAAUAGUGUCUAUAAUAAUAGGGUCUCAAUCUAACAGUGGUGUGAUAGCAAUGCAUUUCUUUCCUUUGUAAAAUAAUCAACCCUUGCGUUCUGAAGAGAUAAGAUGUCAAGAGAUGUAUGUCAGCGCCUACCAGGGAAGAGAAGGGGGUGAUCAUUCCCAAGUGGUGGUAAAGGUAAAAAGAAGGAAAUAAUAUUGGGUUAAUGGGAAAGGGAAGAUAAAUAUUGCAAGCUUGUAUACCUGGUAUAGAAUAGGCAUUAACAGUGGCAGAAGAUGCUGAAGA